This 72-nucleotide transfer RNA is filed under the name Patescibacteria group bacterium. RNAcentral's name for it is "tRNA-Ile". It matches the Rfam family "tRNA". From Rfam's summary of the family: Transfer RNA (tRNA) molecules are approximately 80 nucleotides in length. Their secondary structure includes four short double-helical elements and three loops (D, anti-codon, and T loops). Further hydrogen bonds mediate the characteristic L-shaped molecular structure. tRNAs have two regions of fundamental functional importance: the anti-codon, which is responsible for specific mRNA codon recognition, and the 3' end, to which the tRNAs corresponding amino acid is attached (by aminoacyl-tRNA synthetases). tRNAs cope with the degeneracy of the genetic code in two manners: having more than one tRNA (with a specific anti-codon) for a particular amino acid; and 'wobble' base-pairing, i.e. permitting non-standard base-pairing at the 3rd anti-codon position. RNAcentral also lists the same sequence under 1 other name. The record is from RNAcentral.
GGGCUAGUAGCUCAGUGGUAGAGCGCUACUCUUAUAAAGUAGAUGUCCUUGGUUCGAUCCCAAGCUAGCCCA